Molecule: ribosomal RNA, 495 nt
Filed under: uncultured bacterium
Lineage: Bacteria
Description: partial 16S ribosomal RNA
Rfam family: Bacterial small subunit ribosomal RNA
Source: RNAcentral
GACGAACGCUGGCGGCGUGCCUAAUACAUGCAAGUAGAACGCUGAAGGAGGAGCUUGCUCUUCUGGAUGAGUUGCGAACGGGUGAGUAACGCGUAGGUAACCUGCCUGGUAGCGGGGGAUAACUAUUGGAAACGAUAGCUAAUACCGCAUAACAGUAGAUGUUGCAUGACAUUUACUUAAAAGGUGCAAUUGCAUCACUACCAGAUGGACCUGCGUUGUAUUAGCUAGUUGGUGGGGUAACGGCUCACCAAGGCGACGAUACAUAGCCGACCUGAGAGGGGGAUCGGCCACACUGGGACUGAGACACGGCCCAGACUCCUACGGGAGGCAGCAGUAGGGAAUCUUCGGCAAUGGACGGAAGUCUGACCGAGCAACGCCGCGGGAGUGAAGAAGGGUUUCGGAUCGUAAAGCUCUGUUGUAAGAGAAGAACGAGUGUGAGAGUGGAAAGUUCACACUGUGACGGUAUCUUACCAGAAAGGGACGGCUAACUACGUG